RNAcentral lists this ribosomal RNA (647 nucleotides) under Diatrypella verruciformis. RNAcentral describes it as "eukaryotic LSU rRNA". The stretch from base 228 to 381 matches the Rfam family "5.8S ribosomal RNA". Lineage: Eukaryota; Fungi; Ascomycota; Sordariomycetes; Xylariales; Diatrypaceae. The record is from RNAcentral.
AACAAGGUCUCCGUUGGUGAACCAGCGGAGGGAUCAUUACAGAGUUAAUAAACUCCCAACCCAUGUGAACUUACCUAUGUUGCCUCGGCGGGAGAGCCUACCCGGUACCUACCCUGUAGUUACCCGGGAGCGAGCUACCCUGUAGCCCGCUGCUGGCCGACCCGCCGGUGGACAGUAAAACUCUUGUUUUUAGUGGAUUAUCUGAGUGUUUAUACUUAAUAAGUUAAAACUUUCAACAACGGAUCUCUUGGUUCUGGCAUCGAUGAAGAACGCAGCGAAAUGCGAUAAGUAAUGUGAAUUGCAGAAUUCAGUGAAUCAUCGAAUCUUUGAACGCACAUUGCGCCCAUUAGUAUUCUAGUGGGCAUGCCUGUUCGAGCGUCAUUUCAACCCUCAAGCCCCAGUUGCUUGGUGUUGGGAGCCUGCAACCCCCCGGGGGCUGCAGCUCCUCAAAGCUAUUGGCGGAGUCGUAUUGGCCCUAAGCGUAGUAAUUUUUUCCUCGCUUCUAGUGGUUCCAGUGCUGGCGUCCAGCCGUAAAACCCCUAAUUUUCUAGUGGUUGACCUCGGAUCAGGUAGGAAUACCCGCUGAACUUAAGCAUAUCAAUAAGCCCGGAGAAAAGACCCUUACUACGCUAAGGGCCAAUACGACU